UACGGGGGGUGCGAGCGUUGUCCGGAAUCACUGGGCGUAAAGGGCGCGUAGGUGGCGUGAUAAGGGUGUGGUGAAAGCCUGGGGCUCAACCCCGGGUCUGCCAUGCCGACUGUCAGGCUGGAGUACUGUAGGGGCAGGCGGAAUUCCGGGUGUAGCGGUGGAAUGCGUAGAGAUCGGAAAGAACACCAACGGCGAAAGCACUCUGCUGGGCCGACACUGACACUGAGAGACGAAAGCUAGGGGAGCGAAUGGG
RNAcentral lists this ribosomal RNA (253 nucleotides) under uncultured bacterium. RNAcentral describes it as "partial 16S ribosomal RNA". It matches the Rfam family "Bacterial small subunit ribosomal RNA", at positions 524 to 776 of the family's 1533-position model. The record is from RNAcentral.